UAAGCAAGAUGUGAAAUCGUACGGCUCAACCGUAUACACACAUUUUGAACUGGCAAGCUAGAGUAUAUGAGAGGUCACUGGAAUUUCUAGUGUAGGAGUGAAAUCCGUAGAUAUUAGAAGGAACACCGAUGGCGUAGGCAGGUGACUGGCAUAUUACUGACGCUAAGGCACGAAAGCGUGGGAGCGAACCGGAUUAGAUACCCGGGUAGUCCACGCCGUAAACUAUGGAUGCUA
Molecule: ribosomal RNA, 234 nt
Filed under: uncultured Candidatus Saccharibacteria bacterium
Lineage: Bacteria; Candidatus Saccharimonadota
Description: partial 16S ribosomal RNA
Rfam family: Bacterial small subunit ribosomal RNA
Source: RNAcentral